AGUUGCUAGUAAUCGCGAAUCAGCAUGUCGCGGUGAAUACGUUCCCGGGCCUUGUACACACCGCCCGUCACACCAUGAGAGUUGGCAAUACCCAACGUACGUGAUCUAACCCGCAAGGGAGGAAGCGUCCUAAGGUAGGGUCAGCGAUUGGGGUGAAGUCGUAACAAGGUAAC
Molecule: ribosomal RNA, 173 nt
Filed under: uncultured bacterium
Lineage: Bacteria
Description: partial 16S ribosomal RNA
Rfam family: Bacterial small subunit ribosomal RNA
Source: RNAcentral